This 253-nucleotide ribosomal RNA is filed under the name uncultured bacterium. RNAcentral describes it as "partial 16S ribosomal RNA". It matches the Rfam family "Bacterial small subunit ribosomal RNA", at positions 524 to 776 of the family's 1533-position model. The record is from RNAcentral.
UACGGAGGGAGCUAGCGUUGUUCGGAACUACUGGGCGUAAAGCGCACGUAGGCGGCGCGGCAAGUCAGGGGUGAAAUCCCGGGGCUCAACCCCGGAACUGCCCUUGAAACUGCAGUGCUAGAAUCUUGGAGAGGCGAGUGGAAUUCCGAGUGUAGAGGUGAAAUUCGUAGAUAUUCGGAAGAACACCAGUGGCGAAGGCGACUCGCUGGACAAGUAUUGACGCUGAGGUGCGAAAGCGUGGGGAGCAAACAGG